Molecule: ribosomal RNA, 253 nt
Filed under: uncultured bacterium
Lineage: Bacteria
Description: partial 16S ribosomal RNA
Rfam family: Bacterial small subunit ribosomal RNA
Source: RNAcentral
UACAGAGGUCUCAAGCGUUGUUCGGAUUCAUUGGGCGUAAAGGGUGCGUAGGUGGCGCCGUAAGUCGGGUGUGAAAUUUCGGAGCUUAACUCCGAAACUGCAUUCGAUACUGCGGUGCUUGAGGACUGGAGAGGAGACUGGAAUUUACGGUGUAGCGGUGAAAUGCGUAGAUAUCAGGAGGAACACCUGUGGCGAAAGCGGCUCACUGGACCACAACUGACGCUGAUGCACGAAAGCUAGGGGAGCAAACAGG